AAAAGAAAAUGGGGGAAUGAAGGA
This 24-nucleotide non-coding RNA is filed under the name Cricetulus griseus (Chinese hamster). The record is from RNAcentral. Lineage: Eukaryota; Metazoa; Chordata; Mammalia; Rodentia; Cricetidae.